AAGGAAGAGCCGCUCCAUAUCAGCUUGUUUUUUUCCCUCCAAAGCAGUGGAAACAGCAACAGCCUAUUUUUCAUUAAUUAAUUAAAAGGGUGCGGAGUAGACCUUAGUUCAAGGGGAAUCUUCUUUAGUUGCUGACAGAUUAACAUUGAAAAAGGGAGGUACAGAAGAAGGGGUUGUUGUUUUAAUCAUGUUGCAAGUAGAGUAGUAGUAGCUAAGGUAGUAGAGUUCAAAACAAACUUGAACUCAGCCGUUGCUUAGUAGCUAAGGUAGUAGAGUUCAAAACAAACUUGAACUCAGCCGUUGCUUAGUAGCUAAGGUAGUAGAGUUCAAAACAAACUUGAACUCAGCCGUUGCUUAGUAGCUAAGGUAGUAGAGUUCAAAACAAACUUGAACUCAGCCGUUGCUUAGUAGCUAAGGUAGUAGAGUUCAAAUCAAAUUUGAACUCCAUCUCUAGGAUAGACGGUUCCUAGGAUAGACGGUUCCUGAGUCCUAUAUAAGGACAUGUACUCAUCACUUGUAAGAUAAGCUAUUACAUAGAGAAAUAAAUCAAGAGCUUCAGCAUCA
Lolium perenne is the source of this 564-nucleotide non-coding RNA. The record is from RefSeq and is a predicted model, not a curated record. NCBI's taxonomy places the organism in Eukaryota, Viridiplantae, Streptophyta, Magnoliopsida, Poales, Poaceae.